CUAAGCAUGGGGAGGGUGGUACUUAGUGCAAAGGUGGAGAAAAUGAGGGUGCAGAGAAGAUCAACAAUUAGCCAAUUUGGUUUUAGCCAAAUAACAGCUCCCGCAAUCAUCACCCCGACAGAUUGAAUUAGGUCGGCCAUGACAUGCAAGUAAGCUCCUUGGAGAUUUAUGUUCAAUAUCUUUGUCUUCGGAGUACUUGUUACUAGACUAGUUUCAUCUUCCUCGGUUAAAUCGCAUGGUUUACCACCCUCAUGGUCAUGAUGUUCGUGGUGGUGGUGGUGGUCAUGCAGGUGUUCGUGGUGGUGGUGGUGGUCAUGCAGGUGUUCGUGGUGGUGGUGGUGGUCAUGCAGGUGUUCGUGGUGGUGGUGGUGGUCAUGCAAGUGUACGUGGUGGUGGUGGUGGUGAUUGUUUCCGAAAACAUGGUGACUGUGAUCAUGACCCAGCCAAAGGACUAUAAUCAAGUUGAUAAAAAAUCCAAAUGCAGCAAUAGCAAACAUGAG
This 500-nucleotide long non-coding RNA is filed under the name Gossypium barbadense (sea-island cotton). Its description in RNAcentral is "long non-coding RNA (GBAR_LNC015083)". The record is from RNAcentral. Lineage: Eukaryota; Viridiplantae; Streptophyta; Magnoliopsida; Malvales; Malvaceae.